GCCUGUUUCCACACUCGUGAAAUGAAAUGCCUUUAUUUGUCGUUGUAAGCACUGCAUACAACAAAAUUGUUGUUGCCACUCCUUUGGUGCAUAAUAUACAAACAUAAAAACACAGGACACAAUUUAAAAACAAUGUUAAAAACUAGGUAUUAAAAUAAGUAAGUAAUCAGUACUGUACAUGGUGAUAGUAAAAGUUCAAGGUGAGUAGCAGCAUGGAAGAGUGCAGCAUGAAUAAUACUCAGUGUUUUUUCAUGUUAAGUGUGAAGAUUGCUUUGGGGAAGAAACUGUCUCCAAGUCUGGAGGUGCGUGUUUUGGCUGACCUGUAACGCCUGCCAGAGGGCAACAGUUCAAAAAGG
Amblyraja radiata (thorny skate) is the source of this 356-nucleotide long non-coding RNA. RefSeq lists it as uncharacterized. The record is from RefSeq and is a predicted model, not a curated record. Lineage: Eukaryota; Metazoa; Chordata; Chondrichthyes; Rajiformes; Rajidae. The transcript is spliced from 3 exons.